AUACGGAGGAUGCGAGCGUUAUCCGGAUUUAUUGGGUUUAAAGGGAGCGUAGGCGGGAGCUUAAGUCAGCGGUUAAAUGGUGCGGCUCAACCGUGCCCUGCCGUUGAAACUGGGUUUCUUGAGAGUGCAAGAGGCGGAUGGAAUCCAUGGUGUAGCGGGGAGAUGCUUAGAUAUCAUGAAGAACUCCGAUUGCGAAGGCAGUCCGCUGGGGCACGUCUGACGCUGAUGCUCGAAGGUGCGGGAAUCAAACAGGAUUAGAUACCCUGGUAGUCCGCACGGUAAACGAUGAUUACCCGCUGUCGGCGGUAGACAGUCGGCGGCCAAGCGAAAGCGAUAAGUAAUCCACCUGGGGAGUACGCCGGCAACGGUGAAACUCAAAUGAAUUGACGGGG
Molecule: ribosomal RNA, 392 nt
Filed under: uncultured bacterium
Lineage: Bacteria
Description: partial 16S ribosomal RNA
Rfam family: Bacterial small subunit ribosomal RNA
Source: RNAcentral